GGACCCGCACAAGCGGUGGAGCAUGUGGUUUAAUUCGAUGCAACGCGAAAAACCUUACCUACACUUGACAUACUUGGAAUCUUUUGUAAUGAAAGAGUGCCUUUUGGAGCCAAGAUACAGGUGCUGCAUGGCUGUCGUCAGCUCGUGUCGUGAGAUGUUGGGUUAAGUCCCAUAACGAGCGCAACCCUUACCCUUAUUUGCCAGCGAUUCGGUCGGGAACUAUAAGGGGACUGCCGGUGAUAAACCGGAGGAAGGUGAGGACGACGUCAAGUCAUCAUGGCCCUUACGUGUAGGGCUACACACGUGCUACAAUGGGGAGUACAGACGGCUGCUAACCCGCGAGGGGGAGCUAAUCCGACAAAACUUGUCGUAGUCCGGAUCGAAGUCUGCAACUCGACUUCGUGAAGUCGGAAUC
This 415-nucleotide ribosomal RNA is filed under the name uncultured bacterium. Its description in RNAcentral is "bacterial SSU rRNA". It matches the Rfam family "Bacterial small subunit ribosomal RNA", at positions 917 to 1333 of the family's 1533-position model. The record is from RNAcentral.